RNAcentral lists this small RNA (24 nucleotides) under Arabidopsis thaliana (thale cress). RNAcentral describes it as "ATSL294610". The record is from RNAcentral. Lineage: Eukaryota; Viridiplantae; Streptophyta; Magnoliopsida; Brassicales; Brassicaceae.
AAAAGUCGUCGUCUUCUUCUUCGU